Long non-coding RNA from Dreissena polymorpha, 3927 nucleotides. RefSeq lists it as uncharacterized. The record is from RefSeq and is a predicted model, not a curated record. The transcript is spliced from 4 exons. Lineage: Eukaryota; Metazoa; Mollusca; Bivalvia; Myida; Dreissenidae.
GUUAGUCGCGAAUUUAGGUGGGUCGACGAUAGACGAAUGCGCAUGCACCCGCUUGUUGGACAUGUGCAGUGGGACUGUCAAACGUUGUUUAUCAUAAUGGAUAGCGGAUUUAUAUUUUAUAGAACCAUAUGUGAGUGGCUUUACAGAAACAACCAAAGAACUUGGAGACCUUCUUAAAUGAUGUAGAGUUUGCACUGAAGGAGGGGUUCUUAAAGGAUGUAGGUCAAGAUACAUCACCCACAGCCAGUAAAUAGGUGUGCUCAUCAACAGGUCAAGAUACAUCGCCCACAGCUGGUCAAGAGGUGUGCUCAUCGGCAGGUCAAGAUACAUUACCCCCAGCUAGUCAAGAUGUUUGGCCAUCAGCACAUCAAGAUACAUCCCCUACAGCCAGUCAAGAGUUUUGCUCAUCAGAACAUCAAGAUACAUCACACACAGCCAGUCAGGAGGUGAACCUUAGGAAAUACACUGCAACAUUAAGCCAGAAGCAUGGACGAAGAUGACCACACUAUAUCAGAUGAGGAUGAAGAGGAAUAUGAGGGAAAGAGAAAAAGGAAGCCCCCCAAAAAGGCUGCAAAACGUCAGAAAUUCACAGAGGUAGAAACAGAGGAAAUAAAAACUAACUUUAGUGAAUAUCUUAAAAGUGGAAUUUGUCAGCGGAACCAGCAGGUUGAAGAUGCCAAACAUAAAAGUCGUAAGAAAAAUGGGCAAAUUUGGAAAAGGUCAAACGACAAGAUAAUUGAGAAAAUUAGUGCAAUGAAUCCAGGGCUUUUUUUCCUGACUUUGUGAAGCGGCCCUGGCCCCCUUACUUUGUGAAAAAAUGAGUCGCGAACUUUUCAAAAUUGUGAAAAAAUGAGUUGCAAUCUUUUCAAAAUUGUGACAAAUUGAGUCGCGAACUUUUCAAAAUUGUGAAAAAUUGAGUCGCGAACUUCUUAAAAUUGUGAAAAACUGAGUCGUGAAAUUAUUAAAAUUGUGAAAAACGGCCCAUUUUAUAAAAAUUCACGGCCAUGUUAGGUUUGUGAAUUGUCCUUUUCAAAAUUGUGAAAUGUCCUUCCACGGCCACUCAUAAAGGAGGAAAAAAAGCCCUGGAAUCAUAAGAAAAAAUAAAAAAACAUGUUGUUUACUAUCGGUACUCGGAUGGAACAUUAUAAGAAUACUUUCGAGGGACAUUGAAAAGAUCAUGCAACAGUGACUUGGCAAAUAUGGGUGAUGUUUGUAUGCAAGUGGUAAUUUUUGUGUGUGCAUUUUAUUUGUUGAAUUGAAACUUUACUAUGUAUAUGUCUAAAGGUGGACAAGAAUCUGGUAUAUUAUCAAAUGUUUAAAAUGCUUAUACAAAAGCUUAGAUACAAUAUUUUCCUUUUUGCUUCAUCGAUGCUUUUGGAAUGUACCUUAUUUAUUUUCUUAUAUACCUGAUUUCAGUUUACAAAUAAUAUAAGUAAAGUUUAAGGUAUAUAAUAAAAACACAUGUUAUGAACAUAAGGUCACAAAUGAAUUUUUGAAGCAAGCUCUAUUUGUCACUACUUAGGAAGAAACAUUUUUCCAAAUAGAUUCUUUUUUCUCCUGUGGUUUUUCUUAGAUUCACAACUUUUGUUAUUUAAAAAAAGAGAUUGUGUGUCCUUUCCGAAAUUCGCUAAUAAUAUGUAACUUAAGCUGCCAUAUGUAUGGUCCAAACUUGAAGAAAAUGUUUUGGCAAGACCGAUAUGGAAUCUGGGUCAUGUGGGUCCAAAAGCUAGAAUGUGUGCACAAAUUUACAAAAAUAAUUGUAAAUAUGCUUGAAGACACAUUUUUGAUCCAUUUUUUUUUCAAAAUAAUAUCAAGUUUGACAAAUCUUAAGGAAACUUUGUAAGAGUUGUCUAGACAUUUUUAGUUUGAAAUUGUUAGUACAAAAUACAUAUGCACACACCCUAAGCAUGUUUUUUUUUGGUUUUACAAUUACUGGUUUGUAAUAUUUAAAAAGGACGAGGCAGUUGACUAAACACUGACAAUUAGUUUUUUCUGAUGGGAAUGUUUACCAGUAUGAUUGGAAUAAUUUUUGUCAUGCCGCUGGCAUUGAGAUCAAUAUAGUUGCCACAAUGGCACUUGAGUGUCUGUAUGUACGUUGGUUUAGGUUUUCAGUCAGGAUUGCUUGUCCAGGCUGUAUCGCCCUUAUGCAUUGACACUUUUAAAAAAAAAAUAACUUGGCAUAAUUGUUAAACACCAUGAGCCGGUGUGCAACAAGAAAGAUCCAGGUCUCUAGCUCAAAGGUCAAGGUCACACUUCAAAUAUCGUCAAAUAUAGAUCCAUUGUAUGGGUUCUGCGAGUUUGACAGUCCCACUACACAAAAAAGCCACAUGUCCAACACGCGGGUGUACGCGCAUGCGUCAAUUAGAAAGCCUGGUGUUCAUUGGCUCGUCGUUUUCAUAAACAGGCUUUCUGAUUGCCUCAGAUAUAGUCGCUCAAGUGGAUAUAAGAGUUCAAAGGUCAAAAAUGAGCAUUAUACACCUUGUCCGGUCUGUAUCUCCCUUAUACAUUGACACUUUUUGUAAACAAAUAUUUCUUGUUGGUUUUUGUCAGUUUUUUUUUAUAUUAUUAAUUGUGUCUGUGUCCAAACAGGAUACCAACUUUGCUUUAUUGACACUGGACUCGACAGGCAUCUAGUUCUGAAGUUCAUGUCACGUGUGUGUAUAGGUUAAUGGAGAUAUAUUUUAUACAUAUUAACUGUCUAUAUGUGUAGAUAGGAUUUAUACUGAGUCUGUAGAAGAAUACGACAUUCAAUUUCAAUAUUUGUUUGACUUUCCCUAGGUGUCGUGUAGCUCAACUUUUCAAAGAAAAUGAGAGCUAUUGUACCCACCGCGGCAUUUGCUGUGGUUAAUUUUUUUAUAAAUCACAAAUAACUUUGGAAAAAUGUUAUUUGUAUUUGUCAAGAUUAGUUUUUCAUUACAAAAGCUUAAAUUACAAAACUUCAAUGUACUGAAAAGUACGUGUGAUCUGAGAUUAUACUCUGUAAUAACUUGAACAUAUUGAAAAUUAACAUGUGAUCUGAGCAAAUAUGUGACAAGUAUUCAGAAAAGUUGACCAGCGCUGUCCUCAGACAGCCCUCGUUUUUAAUUGUUUUAUUUUGUUCCAUUUAGUUCUGCUGCAGUAAAAUCCAUUUGCGAACAUAGUUUAAUCUGAUAUUUACUAAUCUUUACACUCUUCCUAUAGAGACGGAUAUUUUAGUUUAAGAAUAAGGUCAUAUUUUUCAGUAACAUUUUAUUUAUAUCUUUCUUUGAUGACCCACAAUAAUUGAUGUUUAAGGUUCAUAUUAGUAACAUCCCACAACCAUUUUGUUAAUCUUAUGCUAUUAAAGUUUGUCCAGUAUGCCUGCAUUUUGUCAUUUAUUGGUUUGCAACAUUGUUUUGAAUAGACCAAUGAUGCACAUUACUUUUUACCAUUUUAUCUUGCAGGCAAAAUAUCCACCAUAUGUCUUUACAUACACCCCUGAAAAAUAAAAAAUGUGUAGUUUUAAGUCAUGUUGUGUAAAUGUACCUGAAUGUAUGUUGAAUUGGUGGGUAACCAUGGUCUUGGUGUGUGAUGUUUUACCGGGUAUGUGGUUUUGUAUGGCUGAAGUGAGAAAGAGAAGAAAUUACAUUAUCAAAUGUUGCCAUUUUUAAUGUGUGAAUCCAGUUAGUUGUGGUUAAGCGCAAUUUGAUGCACAAUGCGGAUUAUUUCAUUUAUAAUAUUUUUGAACAUGAUAAAGGAAAUUUAUGUCAAUAUUCCUUUUGCUUAAGUUUUGGGGAAAGUGAUUACAAUGGUUGAAAUUUUCUACAUUCAAAGAAUAGGUAUUGUAUUGUUUCUUUAGAGCACUAGCAUAGAUUGCAAAUACUUGAUUGUAUUAGUUUACAUUUAUAAAAGUAGGCAUUCAUGACAGUUAUUUGAUACGAUAUGUUUUUAUUAAACAUUUCUAACAUA